AUUUAGAAAGGGCAAAUUAGAGCUUGUUAAAAGCAUUUUAGUUACAUUAAAGUUACUGUGAGAUUCAGUAUGAUUUGAAAUUAAAAAAUUAUUUAGAUUUUAUAUUUAAAAUUUAUUAAAAUAAGUAGAUUAUAGUUUUAGUAUUUAUGAUAGAAAUAAUAAUAUUUAUUAUAGUGAAUCAGUAUUGUGAAUGAAAUUUGAAAAUUAUUCUAAAGAAAAAUUAUUUUUUUGUACCUUGUGUAUCAGGGUUUACUAAAUAAAAUUUUUAUAUUAAAAAUUCUCGAAUUUGAAAGAGCUAAAUUUAUAUAUUUUUUAUUGUAAAAUAAAUAUUAGAAAUAUUGAUUUAGAAAUGAAAUGUUAAUCGAUUUCAAUUAUAUCUAGUUUUUUAAGAAAAAAAUUUAAUUUUUUUAUUUAAUUAAUAAUAAUUUAAAUUUUUAAUUUAUUAUUUUAAAUAGGUUAUAUUUUAAGGGAUGAGCUUUAAGAUAGAUUUUUAUAAGUUAAUAGUUAUUUUGAUAAUAAAUAGGAUUGUAAAUGUCAAUUUUUAAAAUUUUGUUAUAAUUAAUUUUUAUUGUUUUUAGAUUUAUAUUAAUUUUAAAUUUUAUAUUAAAAUAUUUAAUAAAAUUUAAUAUUUAAAUUAAUAAUGGUAAAAUUAGUAUAAUUUUUAGUGUUAAAUUAUUUAUUAGUAAGGUUAAUUAAAGGAAUUCGGCAAAAAUAUUUUUCACCUGUUUAAUAAAAACAUGUCUUUUUGAUAAUAAUUUAAAGUCUAACCUGCCCAAUGAAAAAUUUAAUGGCCGCGGUAUUUUAACCGUGCAAAGGUAGCAUAAUCAUUAGUUUUUUAAUUGAAAGCUUGUAUGAAUGGUUGAAUGAAAAAAUAGCUGUCUCUAAUUAAUUUUUUUAGAAUUUUAUUUUUAAGUUAAAAAGCUUAAAUUUUAUUAAAAGACGAGAAGACCCUAUAGAGUUUGAUAAAAAAAUUUAUUUAUAUUAUUUGGGAUUUAUAAAAAUAUAAAAUUAUUUAUUUGGUUGGGGUGAUUAAAAAAUUUAUUUAACUUUUUUUGUAUUUUUACAUUUAUUUAUGAAUAUUUGAUCCUUAAUUAAAAGAUUAAAAGAAAAAAUUACCUUAGGGAUAACAGCGUAAUUUUUUUUUAGAGUUCUAAUCGAAAAAAAAGGUUGCGACCUCGAUGUUGGAUUAAAAUUAAUUUUUGGUGUAGAAGCUAAAAGUGGGGGGUCUGUUCGACCUUUAAAAUUUUACUUGAUCUGAG
This 1259-nucleotide ribosomal RNA is filed under the name Nanodiscus transversus. RNAcentral describes it as "partial 16S ribosomal RNA". Lineage: Eukaryota; Metazoa; Arthropoda; Insecta; Coleoptera; Brentidae. The record is from RNAcentral.